This 227-nucleotide unclassified non-coding RNA is filed under the name plant metagenome. Its description in RNAcentral is "partial contains small subunit ribosomal RNA, internal transcribed spacer 1, and 5.8S ribosomal RNA". The record is from RNAcentral.
UUUCCGUAGGUGAACCUGCGGAAAGAUCAUUAAAGAAUUUGCCCCGUCCUCUCGAGGAUGGGUCCUCUUCUAAACCGUGUAUACAUACCUUUGUUGCUUUGGCGGGCCGCCGUCUCGGCGUUGGCUUCGUCUGACUGUGCCCGCCAGAGAACCCCAACUCUUCUGUUUAGUAUUGUCUGAGUACUAUAUAAUAGUUAAAACUUUCAACAACGGAUCUCUUGGUUCUG